This 698-nucleotide ribosomal RNA is filed under the name Pseudopolydesmus canadensis. RNAcentral describes it as "partial large subunit ribosomal RNA". The record is from RNAcentral. Lineage: Eukaryota; Metazoa; Arthropoda; Diplopoda; Polydesmida; Polydesmidae.
UUAAUAUUAGUUAUGAAAUAUAUUUCAAGAAAUUUUAUAUCUAGUUUUUUAAGAGUAAAAGUUUAAUAGAAUAAUUUUUAUAAAAAUUAAUAUGGUUUAGCUUAUUAAUUUUAUAUACUGAUAGAAUUUUUUAACCUUAGUAAAUUUGAUAGUGUUUAUUUUAUAAAUUUAUAAUGAAGGGUAAUAUGAAUAAAAAUUUUUAUUUGUUAUUUUUUUAUUAAAAAAUUUAUUAAAAUUUUAGAGUUUUAUUUAUAAUGAAAAAAUUAGUAAAAAUUUAUUUAUAUUAAAAAAUAAUUAAUAAUUUAUAAUUGUUAUAAUUAUUAUAAAAAAUGAAUUCGGCAAAAAGUAUUAUUUGACUGUUUAGCAAAAACAUUGUUUCAUGAAAAGUGUAUGAAAUAAUGUCUGUCCACUGAUAUAUUUGAAGGACUGCAGUAUAUUGACUGUAUAAAAGUAGCAUAAUCAUUAGCUUUUUAAUUUGGGGUUGGUAUGAAGGCGAAACGGAUAAGUUCUUUAUUUUUUAUAAGUGUUUUAAGUUUAUUUUUAAGUGAAAAAUCUUAAUUAUAUGAGAGGGACAAGAAGACCCUAAUAAGUUUUAUUUUUCUUUUAUUUAUGUUAUAGGAAAAUUUAAUUAGAUAAUAUUAAUAUUAGAAAUUUGGUUGGGGCGAUUAGUUAAAAAACAUAAUUUAUUUAUAAUUUUU